This 496-nucleotide ribosomal RNA is filed under the name uncultured bacterium. RNAcentral's name for it is "partial 16S ribosomal RNA". It matches the Rfam family "Bacterial small subunit ribosomal RNA", at positions 29 to 507 of the family's 1533-position model. The record is from RNAcentral.
AUGGACGCUGGCGGCGUGCCUAAUACAUGCAAGUCGAGCGAACGGACGAGAAGCUUGCUUUUCUGAUGUUAGCGGCGGACGGGUGAGUAACACGUGGAUAACCUACCUAUAAGACUGGGAUAACUUCGGGAAACCGGAGCUAAUACCGGAUAAUAUUUUGAACCGCAUGGUUCAAAAGUGAAAGACGGUCUUGCUGUCACUUAUAGAUGGAUCCGCGCUGCAUUAGCUAGUUGGUAAGGUAACGGCUUACCAAGGCAACGAUGCAUAGCCGACCUGAGAGGGUGAUCGGCCACACUGGAACUGAGACACGGUCCAGACUCCUACGGGAGGCAGCAGUAGGGAAUCUUCCGCAAUGGGCGAAAGCCUGACGGAGCAACGCCGCGUGAGUGAUGAAGGUCUUCGGAUCGUAAAACUCUGUUAUUAGGGAAGAACAUAUGUGUAAGUAACUGUGCACAUCUUGACGGUACCUAAUCAGAAAGCCACGGCUAACUACGUG